RNAcentral lists this ribosomal RNA (253 nucleotides) under uncultured bacterium. RNAcentral describes it as "partial 16S ribosomal RNA". It matches the Rfam family "Bacterial small subunit ribosomal RNA", at positions 524 to 776 of the family's 1533-position model. The record is from RNAcentral.
UACAGAGGGUGCAAGCGUUAAUCGGAAUUACUGGGCGUAAAGGGUGUGUAGGUGGUUAGGUAAGUUAGAUGUGAAAUCCCCGGGCUCAACCUGGGAAUUGCGUUUAAAACUGUUUGACUAGAGUAUUGUAGAGGAUAGUGGAAUUUCCAGUGUAGCGGUGAAAUGCGUAGAUAUUGGAAGGAACACCAGUGGCGAAGGCGACUAUCUGGGCAAAUACUGACACUGAGACACGAGAGCAUGGGGAGCAAACAGG